RNAcentral lists this non-coding RNA (795 nucleotides) under Theopropus elegans. The record is from RNAcentral. Lineage: Eukaryota; Metazoa; Arthropoda; Insecta; Mantodea; Hymenopodidae.
UUGUUUGAUGUUCAUUAUUACCUUGAUCUAUAUGUAAUUUUAUAAUUUUGAAAUAUUUCUAAAAGAAAUUUUAGUUUACUUAAAAUGUAGCAGUAGAUAGUUUUAUUGAUAUUAAUUUAGUUUAGAUUUAGUAAAUGUUAUUUAAAAGAUUUGGUAAAGGCUGUGCCAGCAUCCGCGGUUAGACAGCGAAAUCAAAUGAUCAUUAUUGGUUUUUAAGUAGUUAAUAUUAUUAUUGUAUAAUAAUUAAGAUAAUUUAAGGUGAAAUUUUAUUAUUUUAAGGUAUUUAUAUAAAUAUUAUUGUAUGAUUAUUAUGAAAUUAAAAAUAUAAACUAGGAUUAGAUACCCUAUUAUUUUUAUUGUAAAAGUUUAAUACUAGAGUAUUAAUAGUUAUGAUCUUUAAACUUAAAGAAUUUGGCGGUUUUAUAAUCUAUUUAGAGGAAUCUGUUAUGUAAUUGAUAAUCCGCAUUGAACCUUACUUAUAUUAAGUUUUUGUAUACCGCUGUUAUAAGAAAAUUCUUUUAGGUAAUUUUCUUGAUAUAAAAUUAAUUAAUAUUUCAAGUCAAGGUGCAGUUAUAUAUAAGUUGAAUAAUGGAUUACAAUAAAUUUUAUUUAUUAUAUGGAUUAUUAUUGAAAUUAUAAUUUGAAGGUGGAUUUAAUUGUAAUUUUAUGAAGAUUAAUAAAAUGAUUAUAGUUCUAUAAUGUGUACACAUCGCCCGUCACUCUCAUUAUAAGAUGAGAUAAGUCGUAACAAAGUAGGUGUAUCGGAAGGUGUACCUAGGAAGAAAUAUUAAUAAA